CAGCCGCCGCGGGAAUACGAAGGGGGCUAGCGUUGCUCGGAAUUACUGGGCGUAAAGGGAGCGUAGGCGGACUGUUUAGUCAGAGGUGAAAGCCCAGGGCUCAACCUUGGAAUUGCCUUUGAUACUGGCAGUCUUGAGUACGGAAGAGGUAUGUGGAACUCCGAGUGUAGAGGUGAAAUUCGUAGAUAUUCGGAAGAACACCAGUGGCGAAGGCGACAUACUGGUCCGUUACUGACGCUGAGGCUCGAAAGCGUGGGGAGCAAACAGGAUUAGAUACCCCCGUAGUCCCUGUCUCUUAUAC
This 301-nucleotide ribosomal RNA is filed under the name uncultured bacterium. RNAcentral's name for it is "partial 16S ribosomal RNA". It matches the Rfam family "Bacterial small subunit ribosomal RNA", at positions 509 to 807 of the family's 1533-position model. The record is from RNAcentral.